UAAAUAGAGCUGAGAUUCUUUUCCCUGGGAUAUCAUGCUUCCUCAUUGCUGUAUUCCUCGGUGCUGCUGUUCAUUCUUCAAAUGCCAAUGAUAAGUAGGAAAAACUACGCAUUUCAGGAGGCAGUUUCAGAACCAACAGGACAAUCUAGAGCUUCGCACAAGCAUCGCUAUGAAGGUAACAGCAUUCUGGUAUAUUAAGAAUUUACAAUGGUACUUAUCAGACAUUAAUAAUCUUGAUGUGAUGGUCACAAUGCUUAUUAGUCGAAAUCCAGGACCAGAGUUCAUUGAACUGGUCAAGAAGAGCCGUUCAAUCAAGGUUAGGCAAACUAUAUAUGAGAACACUGAAUCCUAAAAACAUGCUGCAGUGAUGGCAUGGACUCCAUCGAUCAAUUGCGGUGCAGGUGAUAGGCUACAAGUUGCCAUGAAUUGGAUUGACAUUCUGCACUGGCAUAUGCUUCUCCAUCUUUGCACCGGCAUUCAACCUUGCAACCAAUGACCAAUGGCAAGUCUUAAAAAUGGGUAUGCCUCACCUUGUGGUUUACACCUUUUACUUCUCUGUAUCAGGUUUUGUGCUGGGUUCUGUGUGAAUGUCAGGUUUUUAGUUUUUGUACCGGCCAUUAGUCGGUGUGCCAAAAUCAACUAUUGGUGCAUAUCUUAAUGACUGGAAUGGCAGGCAUUGGGCCUUCUGGCAGGGUUGCUCUGUGGAUUUGCCAAUGGAUUUCAGUUUAUGGGCAGGCAAGCUGCUGGAUUUGCUGUUGUCAUUGCCGAGAAUUCAAAUAAGUCCAUUGUUCAAAUUUGAAGCGCAAGUGUUAUCAGAUCAAAGAAUGGCCAAGUGAAUUGAUAUUUCGGGUUGUAAUUCUUUUCGCAGAUGUUUUUUUUUUGAAAAAUUAUCUCAUAGAUGGUGCAAUGCCUUACUA
Molecule: long non-coding RNA, 917 nt
Organism: Panicum virgatum (switchgrass)
Lineage: Eukaryota; Viridiplantae; Streptophyta; Magnoliopsida; Poales; Poaceae
Exons: 2
Source: RefSeq, a predicted model, not a curated record